UACGUAGGGUGCGAGCGUUAAUCGGAAUUACUGGGCGUAAAGCGUGCGCAGGCGGCUUUGCAAGACAGAUGUGAAAUCCCCGGGCUCAACCUGGGAACUGCAUUUGUGACUGCAAGGCUAGAGUACGGCAGAGGGGGAUGGAAUUCCGCGUGUAGCAGUGAAAUGCGUAGAUAUGCGGAGGAACACCAAUGGCGAAGGCAAUCCCCUGGGCCUGAACUGACGCUCAUGCAUGAAAGCGUGGGGAGCAAACAGG
RNAcentral lists this ribosomal RNA (253 nucleotides) under uncultured bacterium. RNAcentral's name for it is "partial 16S ribosomal RNA". It matches the Rfam family "Bacterial small subunit ribosomal RNA", at positions 524 to 776 of the family's 1533-position model. The record is from RNAcentral.